UUUGCCAGGAAUACUUCAUGUUUGCAUCUCGAUGUUCCUGUUUAAGUCUACACACUCGAUAUAUCUCAUUAUAUACUAUUUCUGUCUACAUCUGACAAAAUGUUGACGUGUCAAAUUCAUUAAAUUCACUCGGUAACAUAAUGUCCAACAACUAUAUAUGUUUUUUCCUGCUCUUUUUUCAAUGGUGGAUGAUGGCCGUCUUUAGCUGUUAUAUUUCACAUGACAAAUUUCAUUUCUUAUUAUUUGGUUUACGACUUAUUCCCACGAUUGAUUCAAUAUGGUAUUAUAUUGGCUUUUAAAUUAUUUUACCAUAUUUGGUAAUAGAUUAAUACAUGCAAUGACUUCUAUUGUGAUGAUUUUGCCCCCAACAAGCCAUACAAACCCUCAAUGUGGACUGAAGCUUGGAGCAGUUGGUUCAGAGAGUUUGGAGGCACUAUUCACGAGCGUCCAGAUUAGUUCGAGAGCCAAAAUAUGGUCAUCUGAAAGAACUCCACAGAGCAAUUAAAUUGUGCGAAAAGGCUUUACUUUCAGCUAAUCCAACUAUUACUUCAUUGGGAACAU
Molecule: long non-coding RNA, 561 nt
Organism: Asparagus officinalis (garden asparagus)
Lineage: Eukaryota; Viridiplantae; Streptophyta; Magnoliopsida; Asparagales; Asparagaceae
Exons: 3
Source: RefSeq, a predicted model, not a curated record